GGUGUGUAGUUAAUAGCUGCACAUCUUGACGUUAGCAACAGAAGAAGCACCGGCUAACUCCGUGCCAGCAGCCGCGGUAAUACGGAGGGUGCGAGCGUUAAUCGGAAUUACUGGGCGUAAAGCGCAUGCAGGUGGUUCAUUAAGUCAGAUGUGAAAGCCCGGGGCUCAACCUCGGAACUGCAUUUGAAACUGGUGAACUAGAGUGCUGUAGAGGGGGGUAGAAUUUCAGGUGUAGCGGUGAAAUGCGUAGAGAUCUGAAGGAAUACCAGUGGCGAAGGCGGCCCCCUGGACAGACACUGACACUCAGAUGCGAAA
RNAcentral lists this ribosomal RNA (315 nucleotides) under Vibrio cyclitrophicus. RNAcentral's name for it is "bacterial SSU rRNA". It matches the Rfam family "Bacterial small subunit ribosomal RNA", at positions 439 to 758 of the family's 1533-position model. Lineage: Bacteria; Pseudomonadati; Pseudomonadota; Gammaproteobacteria; Vibrionales; Vibrionaceae. The record is from RNAcentral.